GCCACAUCAUGUUGAAACACCGGUUCCGUACGAUCACCGAAGUUAAGUAACGUCGAGACUGCUCAGUACUUAAAUGGGUGACCGAAGAAGAAUACCAGGUGUUGUAAG
Acanthosepion pharaonis is the source of this 108-nucleotide non-coding RNA. NCBI's taxonomy places the organism in Eukaryota, Metazoa, Mollusca, Cephalopoda, Sepiida, Sepiidae. The record is from the annotation of a GenBank genome assembly.